UCCUCCUCCUCCUCCUCCACAUCCUCCACCUUCACCACCCCUCCUGCUCAUCGCCAGAACUAAGAGUGCCCCACCCCAUCUCAGCAACCACCACCAGUUUCUCCUGCAGCCACCGCCUCCACCUGCAGAUUCUGACAGCCACUGCUGACAGCCAAACCACCUCCUACAGCCUCUGCCAGUGCACCUGCGUCUACACCUCUUGAAGUCAACUGCAGCCGAACCUCCACCCACAGCCUCUGUCAGCAACCUGCAGCUGUCACCUCCACCUGCAGAUUUUUACAGAUCGCUACUGCUCAACCUCCACUGACAACUUUUGUCAGCAACCUGAACCAGCACCUACACCUCUCGUACACUACUGCCAUCCAAACCUCCACCUGUAACCUUUGCCAGCCGCCUGAAGACACCUCCUCCACCUGAAGAUUCCCACAGAAAGCUGGGGUCAAACCUCCACCUUCAGCCUCUAUAAGGAAACCUGCACAGACGUUAUCCUACUGCCAUGGUUGGAUCUAAGUGGAACAGCAACGACCAGAGAAACACUGGUGUUUCCAUACGUUGUGUGAAAGACUGAGCACACACUCCUCAACAUGAACCUGACUGAUUGUGAUGAUGCCUUCAUGAAACAGAAAGAGCUCCUCUUCCUCCCACCUGCCUUGUUGGACUUCCAGAUCCAGAGAUGCUUCCUCCUCCUCCCUAUCGUGCACGUUCACCACCCCUCCUGCUCAUCGCCAGAACUAAAAAUGCCCCUCCCCAUCUCUGCAACCACCAGCACUUUCUACGCAAGCCGAUUCAUUGAAGUCCAAAGAUUGCAGAGACGCUCCACCCGAGACUUCAGUGCCUUACUUUUCCAACAACGCCCCCUAAAACGACGUCCAAUGUGCUCUUUUACUGUGUACUUUAAGCCUCUGCACUGUUUUACAAUACAUGUUUCAUUAUCUGCAUCAAUCAGAUCAUGUGUCUCUAACUAUCUAACAAGUCCUUUUAUCUGCAUUUAUAAUUGUUAGUAAGUCCUUAAUAAACGGUUUUGAGUUA
Molecule: long non-coding RNA, 1029 nt
Organism: Trematomus bernacchii (emerald rockcod)
Lineage: Eukaryota; Metazoa; Chordata; Actinopteri; Perciformes; Nototheniidae
Exons: 3
Source: RefSeq, a predicted model, not a curated record